UACCAGACUCCUACGGGAGGCAGCAGUGAGGAAUAUUGGUCAAUGGGAGAGAUCCUGAACCAGCCAAGCCGCGUGAGGGAAGACGGCCCUAUGGGUUGUAAACCUCUUUUGUCGGAGAACAAAACCCGGGACGAGUCCCGGACUGCGUGUAUCCGAAGAAAAAGCAUCGGCUAACUCCGUGCCAGCAGCCGCGGUAAUACGGAGGGGGCAAGCGUUAUCCGGAUUUACUGGGUGUAAAGGGAGCGUAGACGGUGCGCCAAGUCUGGAGUGAAAUGCCGCAGCUUAACUGCGGAACUGCUUUGGAAACUGGCGAACUAGAGUGCGGGAGGGGUAAGCGGAAUUCCUAGUGUAGCGGUGAAAUGCGUAGAUAUUAGGAGGAACACCGGCGGCGAAGGCGGCUUACUGGACCGUAACUGACGUUGAGGCUCGAAAGCGUGGGGAGCAAACAGGAUUAGAUACCCCGGUA
This 466-nucleotide ribosomal RNA is filed under the name uncultured bacterium. RNAcentral's name for it is "bacterial SSU rRNA". It matches the Rfam family "Bacterial small subunit ribosomal RNA", at positions 329 to 792 of the family's 1533-position model. The record is from RNAcentral.